Molecule: ribosomal RNA, 117 nt
Filed under: Salmonella enterica subsp. enterica serovar 1,4,[5],12:i:-
Lineage: Bacteria; Pseudomonadati; Pseudomonadota; Gammaproteobacteria; Enterobacterales; Enterobacteriaceae
Description: partial 16S ribosomal RNA
Rfam family: Bacterial small subunit ribosomal RNA
Source: RNAcentral
GCAAAAGAAGUAGGUAACUUAACCUUCGGGAGGGCGCUUACCACUUUGUGAUUCAUGACUGGGGUGAAGUCGUAACAAGGUAACCGUAGGGGAACCUGCGGUUGGAUCACCUCCUUA